GAAACGACAAAAGGAAAGACGAGUAAGUUUGGCUAUCCCAACAGUGAAUCGAGAUCAGUGGAAACUCGACGGGGCAAAGCCUUCCUGAAUAACACUUUCUUAGUCUCGGGCUGAACGAUAUUCUAGUAGGCCCCGACGUAACCGGUACGUUAUCAUCCGGAGGCGUAUGCUUGUACGCUGUGUGAGGUGGUCUAUUUCAUGAUAGACAACUUGGGUGGUACCGCGAAAAGUCUUUCGUCCCUUGA
RNAcentral lists this non-coding RNA (245 nucleotides) under Schleiferilactobacillus perolens. Its description in RNAcentral is "Lactobacillus perolens T-box sequence". It matches the Rfam family "T-box leader". Rfam says of the family: Uncharged tRNA acts as the effector for transcription antitermination of genes in the T-box leader family. Lineage: Bacteria; Bacillati; Bacillota; Bacilli; Lactobacillales; Lactobacillaceae. The record is from RNAcentral.